Molecule: long non-coding RNA, 1087 nt
Organism: Amborella trichopoda
Lineage: Eukaryota; Viridiplantae; Streptophyta; Magnoliopsida; Amborellales; Amborellaceae
Source: RefSeq, a predicted model, not a curated record
UCCCUCUCCCUUGACUCAGCUCAUCCCUCUUCCCUAUUAUCAUGCUCUCUCUCAAACGAUAAUCAGUUUCGAAGUCUCAUUACCUUCAACCUUCUUCAUCUUAAUCAACAAGGUUCAAACAUUUUAUGAGAAGUACAUGUAUAUGUAUUGGGACUAAUGUCUCUCGUCAGAUAAGAAUUUGAUAGCGUCCAACCUAAUGAGGUAAUUUGGAAUCCCUAUUUCAAGCCUGAUGAAGUCAUUUAAAAUGCUAGGCAGCAGGCAUAUCAAACUGCAAUGUGUAUUACAACACUGAUAUUUGACGAUAUUGCCGAGCCUUACAUACCAGAUCAAGUACGCCAACAAUUUAGCGCUAAAUAGGGCAUUCCUAGGAAUCCCUUGGUUGUUAGUAAGAGGGCUAGCAGACAAGGUGGACAGUGAGAUUGACGAACUGUUAACGCAGACAAAAUCGCUCACUGGUUGUCUCGCCAUGACCGCAUGAUGCCUGAAAUUGUAGAAGAUACUGACAAUGGGUUACCCUCAGAGGAGUACAAGGCUUGAUACAACCUAAUAGCUCAUCCUCUAAUACAUAAUGUCGUUAACCCACCCAACGACAUAUGCAACCUCAUAUCCAGGAAGAAGAAGAUGUGGUUCCUGCUCAUGAACCACAGUAUAUAAUGAGACCUCGAGGUUAUGAGGACAAGUUGGUUGGUGCAGUUCAGACAUCUACAGUCAUGUUAGCAGAUGUACUUACACUUAGACAGAAGGGGUAUCCUGAAAUUUAUAAUCGCGUUAACAACGCGUUUGAAACAUUGUCUUAAUUUGUGCCUGUGGAUAUGGGUGACGUAGAAGCCAGGAUGAAAAUUUUGCAAUGUCAAUAUAAUGACGAAGGUGUACCUGACGAGGCCGGACAUGAUGGAGUGGGGGAAAGUAGUUGGGUUGUAGAAGAGCUAGCUCCAUCCACACAACCUGUAGUUGAGGAACCCAGAAAAUAUAAUACACAAAAGAAACAAUAUCAGCCUAAGAGAAUGCGACCAGUGUAAUGGGGUCUUGACCCGUAUAAUGUAUUGGAACACUUGGUCGUUUUGACUGUUGAAAUGUAUUGUUGUUG